GAAGCUUUCUGCACAACUGACUACGCCCCACCAUGGCACAUAGAGGUCUGCUCUGCCUAUUUAUGCCAUCGAUUCAGUGUGUCAGUAGCUCCCAAAGUCAAUACACGCACUUGUUUACGAUUUAGAAGAGGCAGGAUGGACAGAAUGCUACUAAUAUCAAUACAAAGAAGAGCAAAGAGCAUGUUUCAAUACAAAUACCAUUGCAGGUAAUAAGGAGCUUUACAGUCCAGUUGAAAAAAAGCAAGUAAAGUACCGUUCAAAUCAGAAGUCCUUGGGUAAUUUGACAGUAUUAAAAGUUCAUGGAAUGCAUACACAAAUACACAAAGAAAGUAACUGAGUCUAUAUUCUAUAAGCAACUGUAUAUUGCAUAUACUUAAAAAAGAAAUAUAAUCCCAAUAUAAUUGGACAAUGUGUAAUUUGUAAGUAAUGCUUGUGUCAUU
This is a long non-coding RNA of Xenopus laevis (African clawed frog), 440 nucleotides long. RefSeq lists it as uncharacterized. NCBI's taxonomy places the organism in Eukaryota, Metazoa, Chordata, Amphibia, Anura, Pipidae. The record is from RefSeq and is a predicted model, not a curated record. The transcript has 3 exons.